This 388-nucleotide ribosomal RNA is filed under the name Mallomonas annulata. RNAcentral describes it as "partial small subunit ribosomal RNA". It matches the Rfam family "Eukaryotic small subunit ribosomal RNA", at positions 30 to 432 of the family's 1831-position model. The record is from RNAcentral. Lineage: Eukaryota; Synurophyceae; Synurales; Mallomonadaceae.
GCUUGUCUCAAAGAUUAAGCCAUGCAUGUCUAAGUAUAAAUACCUUAUACUGUGAAACUGCGUAUGGCUCAUUAAAUCAGUUAUAGUUUAUUUGAUGAUACCUCACUACAUGGAUAACCGUAGUAAUUCUAGAGCUAAUACAUGCAUCAUCCCCCAUCUCGGGGUGUAUUUAUUAGAUGGAAACCAAUGCGGGGCAACCCGGUAAAUGGUGAUUCAUAAUAACUUUCGGAUCGAUCUUCGGAUCGAUGCAUCAUUCAAGUUUCUGCCCUAUCAGCUUUGGAUGGUAGGGUAUUGGCCUACCAUGGCUUUAACGGGUAACGGAGAAUUAGGGUUCGAUUCCGGAGAGGGAGCCUGAGAAAUGGCUACCACAUCCAAGGAAGGCAGCAGG